GACGAACGCUGGCGGCGUGCUUAACACAUGCAAGUCGAACGGAAAGGCCCCUUUGGGGGUACUCGAGUGGCGAACGGGUGAGUAACACGUGAGUAACCUUCCCUUUACUUCGGGAUAACUUCAGGAAACUGGGGCUAAUACCGGAUAGGAAUCCUUGCUGCAUGGUGUGGGUUGGAAAGCUUCGGCGGUUUUGGAUGGACUGGCGGCUUAUCAGCGUGUUGGUGCGGUAGUGGCUUACCGAGGCUUUGAGGGGUAGCCGGACUGAGAGGGUGACCGGCCACAUUGGGACUGAGAUAAGGCCGAGACUCCUAAGGGAGGCAGAAGUGGGGAAGACUGAACCAUGGGCGGCAGCCGGAUGAAGAAACGCCGCGGGCGGGAUGACGGCCUUCGGGUUGAAAAACGGCUUCAGCAGGGGAGAAGCUUGUGGUGACGGUACCUGAAGAAGAAGCACCGGCUAACUACGUG
Molecule: ribosomal RNA, 465 nt
Filed under: uncultured bacterium
Lineage: Bacteria
Description: partial 16S ribosomal RNA
Rfam family: Bacterial small subunit ribosomal RNA
Source: RNAcentral